UACGGGGGGGGCUAGCGUUGUUCGGAAUUACUGGGCGUAAAGGGCGCGUAGGCGGCCUACUAAGUCGGACGUGAAAUCCCUCGGCUCAACCGGGGAACUGCGUCGGAUACUGGCAGACUCGAGUACCGGAGAGGAAGGUGGAAUUCCAGGUGUAGCGGUGAAAUGCGUAGAUAUCUGGAGGAACACCGGUGGCGAAGGCGGCAUCCUGGACCAACACUGACGCUGAUGAGCGAAAGCCAGGGGAGCAAACGGG
RNAcentral lists this ribosomal RNA (253 nucleotides) under uncultured bacterium. RNAcentral's name for it is "partial 16S ribosomal RNA". It matches the Rfam family "Bacterial small subunit ribosomal RNA", at positions 524 to 776 of the family's 1533-position model. The record is from RNAcentral.